GACGAACGCUGGCGGCGUGCUUAACACAUGCAAGUCGAACGGAAAGGCCCUGCUUUUGUGGGGUGCUCGAGUGGCGAACGGGUGAGUAACACGUGAGUAACCUGCCCUUGACUUUGGGAUAACUUCAGGAAACUGGGGCUAAUACCGGAUAGGAGCUCCUGCUGCAUGGUGGGGGUUGGAAAGUUUCGGCGGUUGGGGAUGGACUCGCGGCUUAUCAGCUUGUUGGUGGGGUAGUGGCUUACCAAGGCUUUGACGGGUAGCCGGCCUGAGAGGGUGACCGGCCACACUGGGACUGAGAUACGGCCCAGACUCCUACGGGAGGCAGCAGUGGGGAAUAUUGCACGAUGGGCGGAAGCCUGAUGCAGCAACGCCGCGUGCGGGAUGACGGCCUUCGGGUUGUAAACCGCUUUCGCCUGUGACGAAGCGUGAGUGACGGUAAUGGGUAAAGAAGCACCGGCUAACUACGUG
RNAcentral lists this ribosomal RNA (468 nucleotides) under uncultured bacterium. RNAcentral describes it as "partial 16S ribosomal RNA". It matches the Rfam family "Bacterial small subunit ribosomal RNA", at positions 28 to 507 of the family's 1533-position model. The record is from RNAcentral.